RNAcentral lists this ribosomal RNA (1325 nucleotides) under uncultured prokaryote. Its description in RNAcentral is "partial 16S ribosomal RNA". It matches the Rfam family "Bacterial small subunit ribosomal RNA", at positions 28 to 1381 of the family's 1533-position model. The record is from RNAcentral.
CGCGAACGCUGGCGGCAUGGCUAAAACAUGCAAGUCGAACGAGAAUCCCCUUCGGGGGAGUAAAGUGGCGAAAGGGCGAGGAAUACGUUUCUACGUACCCUGAGGUCGAGGAUAGGCCGGGGAAACCCGGAGUAAUACUCGAUGUGGUGCCUUCGGAUCAAAGAUUUAUCGCCUUGGGAUCGGGAAACGUCCUAUCAGCUUGUUGGUGAGGUAACGGCUCACCAAGGCUUAGACGGGUAGCGGGUGUGAGAGCAUGACCCGCCGCAUCGGGACUGAGACACUGCCCGGACUCCUACGGGAGGCUGCAGCAACGAAUAUUCCGCAAUGCGCGAAAGCGUGACGGAGCAAUGCCGCGUGCAGGAUGAAGCCCCUCGGGGUGUAAACUGCUGUCAGGGGUCACCAAGAUCUGAAGGAACCCCAGAGGAAGGGCCGGCUAACUUCGUGCCAGCAGCCGCGGUAAUACGAAGGGCCCGAGCGUUGCGCGGAAUUACUGGGCUUAAAGGGUGCGUAGGCGGACCUGUAAGUGCUUUGUGAAAUCCCACGGCUCAACCGUGGAAUGGCUUGGCAGACUAUAGGUCUUGAGGUCGGUAGGGGUCACCGGAACGCUAGGUGGAGCGGUGAAAUGCGUAGAUAUCUAGCGGAACGCCGAAGGUGAAGACAGGUGACUGGGCCGAUUCUGACGCUGAGGCACGAAAGCGUGGGGAGCAAACGGGAUUAGAUACCCCGGUAGUCCACGCCCUAAACGAUGUGCACUAGAUCCCGGGAGUUCUGACACUCUCUCGAUCGAAGCGAAAGUGAUUAGUACACCGCCUGGGGAGUACGGUCGCAAGGCUAAAACUCAAAGGAAUUGACGGGGGCUCACACAAGCGGUGGAGCAUGUGGCUUAAUUCGAAGCAACGCGAAGAACCUUAUCCUGGGCUUGACAUGUACGGAUUAACUCUGUGAAAGCAGAGCCACGCCUUCGGGUGGAACGUGCACAGGUGCUGCAUGGCUGUCGUCAGCUCGUGCUGUGAAGUGUCGGGGUAAGUCCCUUAACGAGCGCCACCCCUAUCGCUAGUUGCCAGCGCGUCAUGGCGGGGACUCUAGCGAGACUGCCGGUGUCAAACCGGAGGAAGGUGGGGAUGACGUCAAGUCCUCAUGGCCCUUAUGUCCAGGGUUGCAAACGUGCUACAAUGGCGUGGACAGAGCGACGCAAUGCCGCGAGGCGGAGCAAAUCGCAAAAACUACACCCCAGUUCGGAUUGCAGGCUGCAACCCGCCUGCAUGAAGUUGGAAUCGCUAGUAAUCGCAGAUCAGCAACGCUGCGGUGAAUACGUUCCUGAGCCU